RNAcentral lists this ribosomal RNA (388 nucleotides) under uncultured bacterium. RNAcentral describes it as "bacterial SSU rRNA". It matches the Rfam family "Bacterial small subunit ribosomal RNA", at positions 355 to 734 of the family's 1533-position model. The record is from RNAcentral.
UGGGGAAUAUUGCGCAAUGGGCGAAAGCCUGACGCAGCAACGCCGCGUGAGUGAUGAAGGCCUUCGGGUCGUAAAGCUCUGUCGGAGGGAACGAAUGCUCCUGAAGUUAACAGCCUCAGGAGGUGACGGUACCCUCAAAGGAAGCCACGGCUAACUCUGUGCCAGCAGCCGCGGUAAUACAGAGGUGGCAAGCGUUGUUCGGAAUUACUGGGCGUAAAGGGCGCGUAGGCGGCAAUUCAAGUCAUCUGUGAAAUCUCCGGGCUUAACUCGGAACGGUCAGAUGAUACUGCUUUGCUAGAGUGCGGAAGGGGCAAUCGGAAUUCUUGGUGUAGCGGUGAAAUGCGUAGAUAUCAAGAGGAACACCUGAGGUGAAGACGGGUUGCUGGGC